UACGGAGGGGGGCUAGCGUUGUCCGAAGUUACUGGGCGUAAAGCGCGCGUAGGCGGGUUGGUAAGUCCGCUGUGAAAGCCCGGAGCUUAACUCCGGAGGGUCGGUGGAUACUGCCAGUCUUGAAGGUGCUAGGGGGAGAUGGAAUUACCGGUGUAGCGGUGAAAUGCGUAGAUAUCGGUAGGAACACCAGUGGCGAAGGCGGUCUCCUGGGGCAUUCUUGACGCUGAGGCGCGAAAGCUGGGGGGAGCAAACGGG
RNAcentral lists this ribosomal RNA (255 nucleotides) under uncultured bacterium. RNAcentral describes it as "partial 16S ribosomal RNA". It matches the Rfam family "Bacterial small subunit ribosomal RNA", at positions 524 to 776 of the family's 1533-position model. The record is from RNAcentral.